This 489-nucleotide long non-coding RNA is filed under the name Phoenix dactylifera (date palm). Its description in RNAcentral is "long non-coding RNA (PDAC_LNC020374)". The record is from RNAcentral. Lineage: Eukaryota; Viridiplantae; Streptophyta; Magnoliopsida; Arecales; Arecaceae.
GGAUGAGCUGAUGAUGCUUCAACGAGGUGGAGAUGAAGACGUUGAGGAAAUCUCGGCUGGGCGUGGGAGAAUCAACAUGGAGGGGAUCUAGCGGGAGAAGCUGGGAGCUAGCUGGUUCGGAUUUAAUUUAACAAAGCCCUGUUCGUUGGAAGCGGGAGAUCACCCACGGUCGGCUGGUUUUGCUGAGAUUUGGAGCUAUCCAUGGAGGGUAGACAGAUCCGUGGGUGGUUGGAUCGAUGAAGACUCGGGCUCUGUUUGAACUGCUCACGAGAUGGGGAGAAGUUUGGAUACGCUCGAGGUGUUCAAUCGGCUCCGAUGAAGAUGGGAAUGUUGUUCCGGGAGAUGCUGGAACGUGAAGAAGAUAAGGAUGCUGAUUUACCUGGGAUUCCUUUUGACGUUGGGGAUCCGAUUAGAUGCGGGAUGAAGUUAGAUCAACGAGGGAGGCUGGGUUGGUUUGGUAGAGAUACGUGGAGAAAGAUGGAUACGGCU